This 515-nucleotide ribosomal RNA is filed under the name Clostridioides difficile. Its description in RNAcentral is "partial 23S ribosomal RNA". It matches the Rfam family "Bacterial large subunit ribosomal RNA", at positions 1684 to 2210 of the family's 2925-position model. Lineage: Bacteria; Bacillati; Bacillota; Clostridia; Peptostreptococcales; Peptostreptococcaceae. The record is from RNAcentral.
AGGCCAGCGAGAGAACUGUUGUUAAGGAACUCGGCAAAAUGACCCCGUAACUUAGGGAUAAGGGGUGCCACCAUCAGGUGGCCGCAGAGAAUAGGCCCAAGCGACUGUUUACCAAAAACAUAGGUUUCUGCUAAGUCGCAAGACGAUGUAUAGGAGCUGACGCCUGCCCGGUGCUGGAAGGUUAAGGGGAUCUGUUAGAGCAAUCGAAGCAGUGAACUUAAGCCCCAGUAAACGGCGGCCGUAACUAUAACGGUCCUAAGGUAGCGAAAUUCCUUGUCGGGUAAGUUCCGACCCGCACGAAAGGCGUAACGAUUUGGGCACUGUCUCAACAACAGACUCGGUGAAAUUGUAAUUCCGGUGAAGAUGCCGGAUACCUGCGACAGGACGGAAAGACCCCAUGGAGCUUUACUGUAGCUUGACAUUGGGUCUUGGUACUACAUGUACAGGAUAGGUGGGAGGCUUUGAAACCAGGACGCCAGUUUUGGCGGAGCCAUCCUUGGGAUACCACCCUUGUA